AGGGAUGUAGCGCAGUAGGUAGCAUGCUUGCCUAGCAUGCAUGCAGCCUGGGUUCCCUUCCCAGCAUUGCAA
Molecule: transfer RNA, 72 nt
Filed under: Mesocricetus auratus (golden hamster)
Lineage: Eukaryota; Metazoa; Chordata; Mammalia; Rodentia; Cricetidae
Rfam family: tRNA
About the family: Transfer RNA (tRNA) molecules are approximately 80 nucleotides in length. Their secondary structure includes four short double-helical elements and three loops (D, anti-codon, and T loops).
Source: Rfam by way of RNAcentral